This 368-nucleotide unclassified non-coding RNA is filed under the name uncultured Thermoleophilia bacterium. Its description in RNAcentral is "contains 16S-23S intergenic spacer region". Lineage: Bacteria; Bacillati; Actinomycetota; Thermoleophilia. The record is from RNAcentral.
UCCGAGUUGACCCCGGCAGUCUCCUAUGAGUCCCCACCAUGACGUGCUGGCAACAUAGGACGAGGGUUGCGCCACUUAAGGCAACACCUCACGGCACGAGCUGACGACAGCCAUGCAGCACCUGUGCGGGCCCACAAGGGGAAACCGUGUUUCCACGGCGGUCAGGAACAUGUCAAACCCAGGUAAGGUUCUUCGCGUUGCGUCGAAUUAAACCACAUGCUCCGCUGCUUGUGCGGGUCCCCGUCAAUUCCUUUGAGUUUUAGCCUUGCGGCCGUACUCCCCAGGCGGGGCACUUAAUGCGUUAGCUUCGGCACGGGAGGAGUCGACACCUCCCACACCUAGUGCCCAUCGUUUACGGCGUGGACUAC